AUGAUUUGCCAAAUUUCCCCGUCGCCGGUCUCAAUCAUCUCAUUCCUGUGCCGAAAUGACAGCCUCGGGCGGAGCAAUGAUAUAAUUAACACAUUUUUUCGUUCUCUUUCUUUCCAUUUCCCCCUUGCCGACUUCGCAGCCGCUCUGUUUCAGAGCAGGCCGAAGAAUAAACAGACUCCAAAGCAGGAACGCAAACAGAACGAAGCAGAAAAGAAAGCGACUACAGCUCAGCGCUACACUUCACAAGAUCUAGCGGCGGUGCGACUUCUUUGCACUUGCAUCGGCGGACGGCCGAUGGUUUUACUACUGGCGUUUUAA
This 318-nucleotide ribosomal RNA is filed under the name Triticum aestivum (bread wheat). RNAcentral's name for it is "partial small subunit ribosomal RNA". Lineage: Eukaryota; Viridiplantae; Streptophyta; Magnoliopsida; Poales; Poaceae. The record is from RNAcentral.